Molecule: transfer RNA, 69 nt
Filed under: Loxodonta africana (African savanna elephant)
Lineage: Eukaryota; Metazoa; Chordata; Mammalia; Proboscidea; Elephantidae
Rfam family: tRNA
About the family: Transfer RNA (tRNA) molecules are approximately 80 nucleotides in length. Their secondary structure includes four short double-helical elements and three loops (D, anti-codon, and T loops).
Source: Rfam by way of RNAcentral
GCAGUGGUGGUUCAGUGGUAGAAUUCUCUCCUUCCUGUGGGAGACCCAGGUUCGAUUCCUGGCAAUGUA